UCUUGUGUUGGUUGCNUAAUGUUAUGGAAAUUGACCACAAUUGAGGCCCAAUUUUCGCCUCCCACCAAUAUGUGGUGUUAGGUUGAUGUGGAAGUACUGCCCAUUGUCCAUGAAUGCUACGCCCUUUCGCGUUGCAAUCAUGGUCCAUGAGUUGCUACUAGUUCCCGCGGAUGCAGAACCUUUGUAGGGUGCACAGCAUAUUUUUGUUGCUUGCCCACAAAGCGUUCGUGGCUCGAUGUGUACGACGGUUGUGCCCGCCUCUAUCUCGUCUUUAACUCGUUUGGACGGGGCCUAUGCGGUGCCGGCGUCACGAAGGAAUGCUACCUGGUUGAUCCUGCCAGUAGUCAUAUGCUUGUCUCAA
RNAcentral lists this unclassified non-coding RNA (361 nucleotides) under Pradosia montana. RNAcentral describes it as "partial contains external transcribed spacer and 18S ribosomal RNA". The record is from RNAcentral. Lineage: Eukaryota; Viridiplantae; Streptophyta; Magnoliopsida; Ericales; Sapotaceae.